Molecule: transfer RNA, 87 nt
Filed under: Trichonephila inaurata madagascariensis
Lineage: Eukaryota; Metazoa; Arthropoda; Arachnida; Araneae; Nephilidae
Description: tRNA-Sec
Source: RNAcentral
GUCCAAAUGAGUGUUGGCGGUCUGGUGUGUGGGCUUCAAUCCCGUAGUUGGUGAUAGUCAGAGUGGUUCGAUGUCGCCUUCUGGGCG